GUCGGAGGGAUACUUAUACUCAUAUCCUUCGUGAGCUACUCUUGACAGUAAAAUGCUUAGCAAUUGGUCAUGUUCAGUAAGAUAUACUUCUACAUAUUACUUGUAUGCCAUGCCAGUGUCUCCAUACUCCUUGGUUAAGAGGAUAACCAACAUACAUGAUACACAAUGAUCUAUACUUGAUAUAGCUAUCAUCCUAAUAAUAGUA
This 205-nucleotide long non-coding RNA is filed under the name Elaeis guineensis (African oil palm). Its description in RNAcentral is "long non-coding RNA (EGUI_LNC064075)". The record is from RNAcentral. Lineage: Eukaryota; Viridiplantae; Streptophyta; Magnoliopsida; Arecales; Arecaceae.